CAUGUCUUUUUGAUUAUAAUUUAAAGUCUAGCCUGCCCUAUGAAUAUUUAAAUGGCCGCAGUAUUUUGACUGUGCAAAGGUAGCAUAAUAAUUAGUUUUUUAAUUGGGAACUGGUAUGAAUGGCUGGACGAGAAAAAUACUGUCUCAGUUUAAUUUUAAUUAGAAUUUUAUUUUUAAGUUAAAAAGCUUAAAUAAAUUUAAAAGACGAGAAGACCCUAUAGAGUUUUAUAUUAUUUUUUAUUUUUAAAAGUUUAAGUAUUAUUAAUUUAAUUUUAAAAAUUAAUAUUUGAUUGGGGUGAUUUAAAAAUUUAAUAAACUUUUUAUAUAUAUAUACAUUGAUAUAUGAGUAGAUGAUCCAUAUUUUAUGAUUAAAAGAUUAAAUUACCUUAGGGAUAACAGCGUAAUUUUUUUUGAGAGUUCUUAUCGAAAGAAAAGUUUGCGACC
RNAcentral lists this ribosomal RNA (444 nucleotides) under Cephalodesmius armiger. Its description in RNAcentral is "partial 16S ribosomal RNA". The record is from RNAcentral. Lineage: Eukaryota; Metazoa; Arthropoda; Insecta; Coleoptera; Scarabaeidae.